CCUUGCAUUCCAUAAUUGUAUCAUGUGCACGUCACACCCAUAAAAUUAAAUAAUGAACUUUAGGUCGUAAACAAAAUAAAAAAAGAGAAUAAUAAAUUAUAAUUAAGAGAAAUAGGAUAAAAAUAAAAAAUUAAGGCUACACAAGGAUAAUAUGUCACGACCCGAAACUUCUUUCGAGCCCGUGACAAUCGUCGCGAAGUCCAGAUAGACAUUCAUUGCCCGAAAUGCCAACCGGAACCUCGCAAGGCUUUAAUAUCAGUUUUUGCACCUCCCCUGUGAGCAACAGUUGUUAAGUAUCAUGUUUUGAGAGAUUAUAAACUAUUUCCAAAUCAAAACGAUAGAAAAAUAAUUUUUUUCUCAUUGGGGCAUUUUGAUCAUUUUUCCUCAAAAAUCUCGAAACCAGCUAAAAUGUAGUAUGUGAGUGGAAAACACAUAUUUCAUAAUCAAAAAUAAGUUUAGAUGUCUAAAACAUUCAUUUAAAGUGAAACUAUAACUAUUUGAAUAUAAUAAAAAUAUUUAAUAAAAUAUUAUAUUUUCUUAUAAAACAAUAUUUAUAGAGUUACCGGUAAAUAAUUUUUAAGUGUAAAAGCUAAAUAAAUUCAUACAUACUGUAAUACAGAUAACCAAAGCAUAAGAUUUAAUUUACAGUGACACAUGGGCCCACGAACGAUCAAAAGUAUCAAAAGCGGUAAACCUACAAUUUUUGAAGAUGCAAGUCCAACUGUAGCCCUCAACGAAAUGAGCUAUCUACCGACUAUCCUAAGCCUGAAAGGGGUGGAAAAGAGGGUGGUAAGAUUAUAUAAUCCCAAUGAGUGAACAAAUACCAUCUAAAAUAUCUAAAGUUGAGUAAAUGGAGACAAAUAAAAUAGUUUAACAUUCUGUGAUUUAUCACCUUUCAACUCAUUUCAACCAAAUAAAAUCAAUUCAUAUAAAUCGAGUAAUCAAUAUGGUUUAUGAAUUUCUUAAAACUUUGGCUCGUGCCAAAAUCAUUCUCAUACUCAGUUAUCAAGGAUACCUUGGCCUAGGGCUAUCCCAACCGAGUCCACCAAGGCUAUUUAAAAAGUCAUGUACGCAUAAAUCAUGUUUUUAUUUUGAAAACAUAGUCGUUCCUUGGCGUUGGUUGAGUUCACCCUCACGUGGUGGUUUGGCGUGAAGUGAACUCUAAAGGUUGUACCUUAGGAGUUACCCUACGCGCCUCCCCAAUCGAGGUAAGAAUAUAACAGGAUUUCGUGCCCCUCUAAUAGGCUGGUCCACAGAACCCGUCCACUGCAGCAAUCUAAACCCACCAUACAAUAAAAUCUCAACCGCAUGACAUGGCAAUUAUAUCACAAUCCAGCCUCUCAAGGCUAAAUACACGGUUCAUAUAUUUCAACACAAAUACUAAUUCAGUCAUUCAUGCCAAUAUUAUCAUAAGCCAUUCAAUUCAAACCAUGAUUUAUAACACAGUAAAUAGUCUCCAAUUACUCCAUUUUCAAAACCAUCAUUCAAUUUCAAGACAAUUUAUAAAGUUAUUUCAUUUAAUCACAUUUUGCUUAUAAAACAUAAAGAUUUACCAUUUAAACUCAUUUUCCAUAAAAUCACAAAAACGAAUUAAAAUUCACUUCAGAUAAUCAAGAUGAUGAUAAGGUUACUCACUAUUUCGAGAGUCGAAUUUCGAGUACUCUGAUUCUUGAUCCUCGGGUACUAUCUUUUUACUUUUGCUAGAAAGCUCACCACCUAGAUAUAAUGCACAAUAAGCCAUCUACUACAUUUGUGCUAAACCGUUGUAAAACCAAUUCAGGCUUUAUACUAAUGCAUGAAAUGGGAUGUGAAAUACUUGGGUAACUAUCUAAAUACGGUGUUCUACACAAAUUCAAUUGGGUACCUAAAUAAGACGGUAUUGGCCUAAUUCGAUCUAUCACCCGAUUAAUUGGCCAAUACGUCCAAUUCAACUCCAAAUAAUUCCAUUUUUCUUCCAAUUCUCCAAAUCACCAAACACAAGUCAAAUAACAUAAAAUUUAGCAAAACCAUCCUUACAUUUCUUCUUGAGAAUUUCGGCCAUGGUGAGUGCAUCAACACUAUGAUUUUUCCUACUUGAUUUUCUCACCAUAAUUCAUCAUUUCCUAACCAAUUCACUUGAAAUAAAAUCAAAUCCACCAUCCACACUCUACAUGGAAAAUUCGGCCAAUGAUGGGUGAUGGGCGAAAAUGAAUUUUUCUUGUUGGCUUUUCAUGCUACACAUCACUAACUAACUAAAAACACUAAAAUACAUUGAAAUCUAACCAAAACAACCAUCAAAAUCUCUCUCUAAGUGUUCAGCCAGCAAGAUACCCAUCAUGAUUUCAUAUGAUUCAACCAUGAAAAAUAAGAAAAAAUGCUUAAGAAAGAGAGAUAUCAAGCUUAAUUGAAAAAUCUUACCUUUUUUUCACUUGUUUCCUUGAAUUUUCACACUUUUCCCUUGAAUUUUUCCAUCUAGGGUUUUGUUCUUCCUUUUCUUCCUUUGUUCUUGCUUUAGCCGGC
This 2499-nucleotide long non-coding RNA is filed under the name Theobroma cacao (cacao). RNAcentral's name for it is "long non-coding RNA (TCAC_LNC004800)". Lineage: Eukaryota; Viridiplantae; Streptophyta; Magnoliopsida; Malvales; Malvaceae. The record is from RNAcentral.